CGCGGCAAGACGGAAAGACCCCGUGAACCUUUACUAUAGCUUGACACUGAACAUUGAGCCUUGAUGUGUAGGAUAGGUGGGAGGCUUUGAAGUGUGGACGCCAGUCUGCAUGGAGCCGACCUUGAAAUACCACCCUUUAAUGUUUGAUGUUCUAACGUGGACCCGUUACCCGGGUUGCGGACAGUGUCUGGUGGGUAGUUUGACUGGGGCGGUCUCCUCCUAAAGAGUAACGGAGGAGCACGAAGGUUGGCUAAUCCUGGUCGGACAUCAGGAGGUUAGUGCAAUGGCAUAAGCCAGCUUGACUGCGAGCGUGACGGCGCGAGCAGGUGCGAAAGCAGGUCAUAGUGAUCCGGUGGUUCUGAAUGGAAGGGCCAUCGCUCAACGGAUAAAAGGUACUCCGGGGAUAACAGGCUGAUACCGCCCAAGAGUUCAUAUCGACGGCGGUGUUUGGCACCUCGAUGUCGGCUCAUCACAUCCUGGGGCUGAAGUAGGUCCCAAGGGUAUGGCUGUUCGCCAUUUAAAGUGGUACGCGAGCUGGGUUUAGAACGUCGUGAGACAGUUCGGUCCCUAUCUGCCGUGGGCGCUGGAGAACUGAGGGGGGCUGCUCCUAGUACGAGAGGACCGGAGUGGACGCAUCACUGGUGUUCGGGUUGUCAUGCCAAUGGCACUGCCCGGUAGCUAAAUGCGGAAGAGAUAAGUGCUGAAAGCAUCUAAGCACGAAACUUGCCCCGAGAUGAGUUCUCCCUGAGACUUAGAGUCUCCUGAAGGAACGUUGAAGACGACGACGUUGAUAGGCCGGGUGUGUAAGCGCAGCGAUGCGUUGAGCUAACCGGUACUAAUGAACCGUGAGGCUUAACCUUACAACGCCGAAG
This 872-nucleotide ribosomal RNA is filed under the name Salmonella enterica subsp. enterica serovar Blockley. RNAcentral describes it as "partial 23S ribosomal RNA". It matches the Rfam family "Bacterial large subunit ribosomal RNA", at positions 2071 to 2925 of the family's 2925-position model. RNAcentral also lists the same sequence under 1 other name. The record is from RNAcentral. Lineage: Bacteria; Pseudomonadati; Pseudomonadota; Gammaproteobacteria; Enterobacterales; Enterobacteriaceae.